Molecule: ribosomal RNA, 483 nt
Filed under: uncultured bacterium
Lineage: Bacteria
Description: partial 16S ribosomal RNA
Rfam family: Bacterial small subunit ribosomal RNA
Source: RNAcentral
GACGAACGCUGGCGGCGUGCUUAACACAUGCCAGUCGAACGCUGAAGCUCAGCUUUUGUUGGGUGGAUGAGUGGCGAACGGGUGAGUAACACGUGAGUAACCUGCCCCCUUCUUUGGGAUAACGCCCGGAAACGGGUGCUAAUACUGGAUAUUCACUGGUCUUCGCAUGGGGGUUGGUGGAAAGGGUUUUUCUGGUGGGGGAUGGGCUCGCGGCCUAUCAGCUUGUUGGUGGGGUGAUGGCCUACCAAGGCUUUGACGGGUAGCCGGCAUGAGAGGGUGACCGGUCACAUUGGGACUGAGAUACGGCCCAGACUCCGACGGGAGGCAGCAGUGGGGAAUAUUGCACAAUGGGCGCAAGCCUGAUGCAGCGGCGCCGCGUGAGGGAUGGAGGCCUUCGGGUUGUGAACCUCUUUCGCUCAUGGUCAAGCCGCAACAAUGGUUGUGGUGAGGGUAGUGGGUAAAGAAGCGCCGGCUAACUACGUG